AGAGUUUGAUCCUGGCUCAGGACGAACGCUGGCGGCGUGCUUAACACAUGCAAGUCGAGCGAUGAAGCUUCCUUCGGGAAGUGGAUUAGCGGCGGACGGGUGAGUAACACGUGGGUAACCUGCCUCAAAGUGGGGGAUAGCCUUCCGAAAGGAAGAUUAAUACCGCAUAAUAUAAGAGAAUCGCAUGAUUUUCUUAUCAAAGAUUUAUUGCUUUGAGAUGGACCCGCGGCGCAUUAGCUAGUUGGUAAGGUAACGGCUUACCAAGGCAACGAUGCGUAGCCGACCUGAGAGGGUGAUCGGCCACAUUGGAACUGAGACACGGUCCAGACUCCUACGGGAGGCAGCAGUGGGGAAUAUUGCGCAAUGGGGGAAACCCUGACGCAGCAACGCCGCGUGGGUGAUGAAGGUCUUCGGAUUGUAAAGCCCUGUUUUCUAGGACGAUAAUGACGGUACUAGAGGAGGAAGCCACGGCUAACUACGUGCCAGCAGCCGCGGUAAUACGUAGGUGGCGAGCGUUGUCCGGAUUUACUGGGCGUAAAGGGUGCGUAGGCGGAUGUUUAAGUGGGAUGUGAAAUCCCCGGGCUUAACCUGGGGGCUGCAUUCCAAACUGGAUAUCUAGAGUGCAGGAGAGGAAAGCGGAAUUCCUAGUGUAGCGGUGAAAUGCGUAGAGAUUAGGAAGAACACCAGUGGCGAAGGCGGCUUUCUGGACUGUAACUGACGCUGAGGCACGAAAGCGUGGGUAGCAAACAGGAUUAGAUCCCCUGGUAGUCCACGCCGUAAACGAUGGAUACUAGGUGUAGGGGGUAUCAACUCCCCCUGUGCCGCAGUUAACACAAUAAGUAUCCCGCCUGGGGAGUACGGUCGCAAGAUUAAAACUCAAAGGAAUUGACGGGGGCCCGCACAAGCAGCGGAGCAUGUGGUUUAAUUCGAAGCAACGCGAAGAACCUUACCUGGACUUGACAUCCCUUGCAUAGCCUAGAGAUAGGGGAAGCCCUGCGGGG
Molecule: ribosomal RNA, 1001 nt
Filed under: Clostridium sporogenes
Lineage: Bacteria; Bacillati; Bacillota; Clostridia; Eubacteriales; Clostridiaceae
Description: bacterial SSU rRNA
Rfam family: Bacterial small subunit ribosomal RNA
Source: RNAcentral